CCAAUAGCGUAUAUUAAAGUUGUUGCAGUUAAAAAGCUCGUAGUUGAAUUUCGGGAUUGACACAUCGGUCGUGCCUUAAGGGGUAUGAACUGGUGUAGUCAAUUUCUCACCUUCUGGAGAACCGCGAUGCCCUUAAUUGGGUGUCGCGGGGAACCAGGACCUUUACUUUGAAAAAAUUAGAGUGUUUAAAGCAGGCAUUUUGCUUGAAUACAUUAGCAUGGAAUGAUAAAAGAGGACGGCAUGAUUCUAUUUUGUUGGUUUCUAGGAUCACCGUAAUGAUUAAUAGGGAUAGUUGGGGGCAUUAGUAUUCAAUUGUCAGAGGUGAAAUUCUUGGAUUUAUUGAAGACUAACUACUGCGAAAGCAUUUGCCAAGGAUGUUUUCAUUAAUCAAGAACGAAAGUUAGGGGAUCGAAGACGAUCAGAUACCGUCGUAGUCUUAACCAUAAACUAUGCCGACUAGGAAUCAGACGAUGUUAAUUUUUUAAUGACUCGUUUGGCACCUUACG
RNAcentral lists this ribosomal RNA (506 nucleotides) under uncultured Glomeromycotina. RNAcentral describes it as "partial small subunit ribosomal RNA". It matches the Rfam family "Eukaryotic small subunit ribosomal RNA", at positions 591 to 1092 of the family's 1831-position model. Lineage: Eukaryota; Fungi; Glomeromycota. The record is from RNAcentral.